GAGAAUAUAGCUUAGUGGUAGAGUGCAUGCCUAUCAUGUACAAAGUCCUGGGUUCAACCCCCAGUACCUCCA
Molecule: transfer RNA, 72 nt
Organism: Camelus ferus (Wild Bactrian camel)
Lineage: Eukaryota; Metazoa; Chordata; Mammalia; Artiodactyla; Camelidae
Rfam family: tRNA
About the family: Transfer RNA (tRNA) molecules are approximately 80 nucleotides in length. Their secondary structure includes four short double-helical elements and three loops (D, anti-codon, and T loops). Further hydrogen bonds mediate the characteristic L-shaped molecular structure. tRNAs have two regions of fundamental functional importance: the anti-codon, which is responsible for specific mRNA codon recognition, and the 3' end, to which the tRNAs corresponding amino acid is attached (by aminoacyl-tRNA synthetases). tRNAs cope with the degeneracy of the genetic code in two manners: having more than one tRNA (with a specific anti-codon) for a particular amino acid; and 'wobble' base-pairing, i.e. permitting non-standard base-pairing at the 3rd anti-codon position.
Source: Rfam